UACGGAGGGGGCUAGCGUUGUUCGGAAUUACUGGGCGUAAAGCGCGCGUAGGCGGCUUUGUAAGUUAGAGGUGAAAGCCCGGAGCUCAACUCCGGAACUGCCUUUAAGACUGCAUCGCUAGAAUUGUGGAGAGGUGAGUGGAAUUCCGAGUGUAGAGGUGAAAUGCGUAGAGAUCGGGAGGAACCUCGAAAGCGAAGGCAACCGGCUGGCUGAAGAUUGACGCUGAGGGACGAAAGCGUGGGGAGCGAACAGG
Molecule: ribosomal RNA, 253 nt
Filed under: uncultured bacterium
Lineage: Bacteria
Description: partial 16S ribosomal RNA
Rfam family: Bacterial small subunit ribosomal RNA
Source: RNAcentral